CGGAUUCUGGCUCAGGAUGAACGCUAGCGGCAGGCUUAACACAUGCAAGUCGAGGGGCAUCGGGAGUAGCAAUACUUGCCGGCGACCGGCGCAAGGGUGCGUAACGCGUGAGCAACAUGCCCGUAUCAGGGGGAUAAUCCAUGGAAACGUGGUCUAAUACCCCAUAGUAAUUAUGUAAGGCAUCUUAUAUAAUUUAAAGCUUUGGUGGAUACGGAUUGGCUCGCGUGACAUUAGCUGGAUGGUAAGGUAACGGCUUACCAUGGCUACGAUGUCUAGGGGUUCUGAGAGGAAGGUCCCCCACACUGGAACUGAGACACGGUCCAGACUCCUACGGGAGGCAGCAGUGAGGAAUAUUGGACAAUGGAUGGAAAUCUGAUCCAACCAUGCCGCGUGCAGGAAAAGACGGCCCUAUGGGUUGUAAACUGCUUUUGUAUGGGAGCAAUAAGGGCUACGUGUAGUCCGAUGAGAGUACCAUACGAAUAAGCACCGGCUAACUCCGUGCCAGCAGCAGC
RNAcentral lists this ribosomal RNA (512 nucleotides) under uncultured bacterium. RNAcentral's name for it is "bacterial SSU rRNA". It matches the Rfam family "Bacterial small subunit ribosomal RNA", at positions 13 to 518 of the family's 1533-position model. The record is from RNAcentral.